Molecule: ribosomal RNA, 497 nt
Filed under: uncultured bacterium
Lineage: Bacteria
Description: bacterial SSU rRNA
Rfam family: Bacterial small subunit ribosomal RNA
Source: RNAcentral
UGGCGGCGUGCCUAACACAUGCAAGUCGAACGGAGAUUACGCGCUGAUGAAGCUUCGGCAGAAUCUUGUGUAAUCUUAGUGGCGGACGGGUGAGUAACGCGUGGGCAACCUGCCUCAUACUGGGGGAUAGCAGUUGGAAACGACUGAUAAUACCGCAUAAGCGCACAGCAUCGCAUGAUGCAGUGUGAAAAACUCCGGUGGUAUGAGAUGGGCCCGCGUCAGAUUAGCUAGUUGGUAAGGUAACGGCUUACCAAGGCGACGAUCUGUAGCCGGACUGAGAGGUCGGACGGCCACAUUGGGACUGAGACACGGCCCAAACUCCUACGGGAGGCAGCAGUGGGGGAUAUUGCACAAUGGAGGAAACUCUGAUGCAGCGACGCCGCGUGAGUGAAGAAGUAUUUCGGUAUGUAAAGCUCUAUCAGCAGGGAAGAAAGACUCGCAAGAGAGAUGACGGUACCUGACUAAGAAGCCCCGGCUAACUACGUGCCAGCCGCCGC